This is a non-coding RNA of Salmo salar (Atlantic salmon), 70 nucleotides long. Lineage: Eukaryota; Metazoa; Chordata; Actinopteri; Salmoniformes; Salmonidae. The record is from Rfam.
UCCCGUGUGGCUCAGUUGGUAGAGCAUGGUGUUUGCAAUGCCAGGGUUGUGAGUUUGAUUCCCACGGGGG